This 527-nucleotide ribosomal RNA is filed under the name uncultured bacterium. Its description in RNAcentral is "partial 16S ribosomal RNA". It matches the Rfam family "Bacterial small subunit ribosomal RNA", at positions 355 to 873 of the family's 1533-position model. The record is from RNAcentral.
UGGGGAAUUUUGGACAAUGGGCGAAAGCCGAUCCAGCAAUGCCGCGUGUGUGAAGAAGGCCUUCGGGUUGUAAAGCACUUUUGUCCGGAAAGAAAUCCUUGGCUCUAAUACAGUCGGGGGAUGACGGUACCGGAAGAAUAAGCACCGGCUAACUACGUGCCAGCAGCCGCGGUAAUACGUAGGGUGCAAGCGUUAAUCGGAAUUACUGGGCGUAAAGCGUGCGCAGGCGGUUUGCUAAGACCGAUGUGAAAUCCCCGGGCUCAACCUGGGAACUGCAUUGGUGACUGGCAGGCUAGAGUAUGGCAGAGGGGGUAGAUGAUCCACGUGUAGCAGUGAAAUGCGUAGAGAUGUGGAGGAAUACCGAUGGCGAAGGCAGCCCCCUGGGCCAAAUACUGACGCUCAUGCACGAAAGCGUGGGGAGCAAAACAGGAUUCAGAUACCCUGGUAGUCCACGCCCUAAACGAUGUCAACUAGUUGUUGGGGAUUCAUUUCCUUAGUAACGUAGCUAACGCGUGAAGUUGACCGCC